GGUACUGUGGCUUAGCUGGUUAAAGUGCAUGUCUAAUAAACAGGAGAUCCUGGGUUCAAAGCCCAGCAGUACCA
Molecule: transfer RNA, 74 nt
Filed under: Merluccius polli (Benguela hake)
Lineage: Eukaryota; Metazoa; Chordata; Actinopteri; Gadiformes; Merlucciidae
Rfam family: tRNA
About the family: Transfer RNA (tRNA) molecules are approximately 80 nucleotides in length. Their secondary structure includes four short double-helical elements and three loops (D, anti-codon, and T loops). Further hydrogen bonds mediate the characteristic L-shaped molecular structure. tRNAs have two regions of fundamental functional importance: the anti-codon, which is responsible for specific mRNA codon recognition, and the 3' end, to which the tRNAs corresponding amino acid is attached (by aminoacyl-tRNA synthetases). tRNAs cope with the degeneracy of the genetic code in two manners: having more than one tRNA (with a specific anti-codon) for a particular amino acid; and 'wobble' base-pairing, i.e. permitting non-standard base-pairing at the 3rd anti-codon position.
Source: Rfam by way of RNAcentral